RNAcentral lists this ribosomal RNA (740 nucleotides) under uncultured bacterium. RNAcentral's name for it is "bacterial SSU rRNA". It matches the Rfam family "Bacterial small subunit ribosomal RNA", at positions 8 to 796 of the family's 1533-position model. The record is from RNAcentral.
AGAGUUUGAUCCUGGCUCAGGAUGAACGCUGGCGAUGUGGAUAAGGCAUGCAAGUCAAGGGGGCCGCAAGGCAACCGGCAGACGAGGUAGUAACACGUAGGUACACCCCCAGAAGUCGGGCAUAGCCAGCCGAAAGGUUGGGUAAUUCCCGAUGGUCCCGCAAGGGUAAAGUUUUUCGCUUCUGGAGUGGCCUGCGUCAUAUCAGCUAGUUGGUAGGGUAACGGCCUACCAAGGCUACGACGUGUAGGGGGGCUGAGAGGCCGAUCCCCACCGAUGGCACUGCGAUACGGGCCAUACCUCUACGGAGGGCUGCAGCCGAGAAUAUUCCGCAAUGGACGAAAGUCUGACGGAGCGACAUCGCGUGAUGGAUGAAGUGCUUCGGUACGUAAACAUCUUUUAUGUGGGAAGAAAUUAUUGACGGUACCACAUGAAUAAGGGGCUCCUAACUCUGUGCCAGCAGGAGCGGUAAUACAGAGGCCCCAAGCGUUAUCCGGAAUUAUUGGGCGUAAAGGGUGUCCAGGCGGCCCUGUUAGUCGUUUGUAAAAUCCGUGAGCUUAACUUACGGUCCGCAAGCGAAACGGCAGGGCUCGAGGGCGCGAGAGGUAUAUGGAACUCACGGUGGAGGGGUGAAAUCCGUUGAUAUCGUGGGGAACACCAAAGGCGAAGGCAAUACUGGCGCGUUCCUGACGCUCACACACGAAAGCCAGGGGAUCGAACGGGAUUAGAUACCCCCGUAGUCC